AUUAGGAAAAGGAGAAGGGAGGAAGAUGAAGACAUGAUGUUUUUUAUUCGGCCCGCAUUGCACGGAACACAUAAUAUAGGACCAAUCGAGAGAAAACAAUGACACAGCUCCAUCAUAUAUGGCAAGAAGCGUGUUAACGAUAUCCUUAUAGGGCAUGUUCAGAAUUGCUUAGCUGCUUCUAGGAUGGAGCCACACAUCUCAAGGCCUUUGACAUCUUAUCUUGGAAGAAAAACUUGA
Molecule: ribosomal RNA, 237 nt
Filed under: Triticum aestivum (bread wheat)
Lineage: Eukaryota; Viridiplantae; Streptophyta; Magnoliopsida; Poales; Poaceae
Description: partial small subunit ribosomal RNA
Source: RNAcentral